RNAcentral lists this ribosomal RNA (220 nucleotides) under uncultured bacterium. RNAcentral's name for it is "partial 16S ribosomal RNA". It matches the Rfam family "Bacterial small subunit ribosomal RNA", at positions 124 to 334 of the family's 1533-position model. The record is from RNAcentral.
UACUGCCUCUAUGAUGGGGAUAACAGUUGGAAACGACUGCUAAUACCGAAUACGCUCAUAAUGAACUUUACGAGGAAAGGUGGCCUCUGCUUGCAAGCUAUCGCAUAGAGAUGAGUCCGCGUCCCAUUAGCUAGUUGGUGGGGUAACGGCCUACCAAGGCAACGAUGGGUAGCCGAUCUGAGAGGAUGAUCGGCCACACUGGAACUGAAACACGGUCCAG